This 454-nucleotide ribosomal RNA is filed under the name uncultured Chloroflexota bacterium. RNAcentral's name for it is "bacterial SSU rRNA". It matches the Rfam family "Bacterial small subunit ribosomal RNA", at positions 920 to 1382 of the family's 1533-position model. Lineage: Bacteria; Bacillati; Chloroflexota. The record is from RNAcentral.
CCCGCACAAGCAGCGGAGCGUGUGGUUUAAUUCGAUGCAACACGAAGAACCUUACCAGGGCUUGACAUGUUUAGAAGUAGGAACCCGAAAGGGGGACGACCAGUAUCCAAUCUGGAGCUAACACAGGUGCUGCAUGGCUGUCGUCAGCUCGUGCCGUGAGGUGUAUGGUUAAGUCCCACAACGAGCGCAACCCUCGUCGCUAGUUAAUUUCCCUAGCGAGACCGCCUCGCAAAACGAGGAGGAAGGCGGGGAUGGCGUCAAGUCAGCAUGGCCUUUAUACCCUGGGCGACACACACGCUACAAUGGGUGGUACAGUAGGUAGCGAAGGAGCGAUCCGGAGCAAAUCCUUAAAACCAUCCUCAGUACGGAUUGCAGGCUGAAACCCGCCUGCAUGAAGCCGGAGUUGCUAGUAACCGCAUAUCAGCAUGGUGCGGUGAAUACGUUCUCGGGCCUU